This 1453-nucleotide ribosomal RNA is filed under the name uncultured Bordetella sp. RNAcentral describes it as "partial 16S-23S ribosomal RNA intergenic spacer". It matches the Rfam family "Bacterial small subunit ribosomal RNA". The record is from RNAcentral. Lineage: Bacteria; Pseudomonadati; Pseudomonadota; Betaproteobacteria; Burkholderiales; Alcaligenaceae.
GGGUUCGAUUAUGGUCAGAUUGAAUGCUGGCGGGAUGCUUUACACACGUCGAACGGCGUACGGACUUCGGUCUGCAGCGCCAAGGAGUAAGGAACGGGUGAGUAAUGUAUCGGAACGUGCCUAGUAGCGGGGAUAACUACGCAAAGCGUAGCUAAUACCGCAUAAUACCCUUUCGGGAAAGCGGGGGACCUCGGGCCUCGCACUAUUAGAGCGGCCGAUAUCGGAUUAGCUAGUUGGUGGGGUAACGGCUCACCAAGGCGACGAUCCGUAGCUGGUUUGAGAGGACGACCAGCCACACUGGGACUGAGACACGGCCCAGACUCCUACGGGAGGCAAGGUGGGGAAUUUUGGACAAUGGGGAAACCCUGAUCCAGCCAUCCUGCGUGUGCGAUGAAGGCUCGUUGUAAAAGCACUUUUGGCAGGAAGAAACGGCACGGAUAAUGUCACCCCGUGCAACCGACGGUACUCCGCAGACAGCACCGGCUAACCAUGCGCCAGCAGCCGCGGUAAUGCGUAGGUGCAAGCAGCGUUACCCGGAAUUACUGGGCGUAAAGCGCGGCAGGCGCGGCUAUUCGGAAAGAAAGAUGUGAAAUCCCAGAGCUUAACUUUGAAACUGCAUUUUUAACUACCGAGCUAGAGGUAAGUCAGAGGGAGGUGAAUUCCCGUGUAGCAGUGAAUGCGCAGAGCAUGAGGAACACCGAUGGCGAAGGCAGCCUCUGGGAUAACACUGACGCUCAUGCACGAAAGCGGGAGCAAACAGGAUUAGAUACCCCGGUAGUCCACGCCCUAAACGAUGUCAACUAUUGCUAGCCUUCGGGCUUUGGUAGCGCAGCUAUCGGUGAAGUUGACCGCCAGCCUGGGGAGUAGCCGGUCGCAGACAACCAGGUUGAAUGACGGACCCGCACAUGCGGAUGAUGUGGAUUAAUCUGAUGCAACGAAAACCUUACCUACCCUUUGACAUGUUCAAGAAUCCCGAAGAGACUGGAGUGUCGCAAGAACCUGAACACAGGGUGCUGCAUGGCUGUCGUCAGCUCGUGUCGUGAGAUGUUGGGUUAAGUCCCGCAACGAGCGCAACCCUUGUCAUUGGUUGCCGCCGAAAGGGCACUUCACGAGACUGCCGGCGACAAACCGGAGUAGCGUGAUGAUGUCAAGUCCAUGGCUCCCAGGUAGGGCUUCACACGUCAUAGUAAUGGUCGGGCGAGGGUCGCCAACCCGCGAGGGGGAGCCAAUCCCGCAGAAACCCGAUCGGUCCGGAUCGCAGUCUGCAACUCUGACUGCGUGAAGUCGGACUGCUGGGUAAUCGCGGAUCAGCAUGUCGCGGUGAAUACGUUCCUGGUCUGCAAGACACCGCCCGUCACACCAAGGAGUGAAGCCACGAAGUAGUUAGCCUAACCGUGGGCAAGGAGGGGCGAUUACCACGAGAUUCAUGACUGGGGUGAAGUCGUAACAAGGC